AGAGGGUGGGACAGGGAGGGGGACAGUGCCAGGGGUGUAGGGUGAUAUAAAGUUACUGGGGUGGGUUUGCGACGCGCUGGCACCGAGGCGAUGGGCCGAAUGGCCGCUACACGUGGACACACAGCGGGGUUGACGUAGUCCAGUGCUGGGCAUUUGUCGGAGAGGCCUGUGGCGGUGAUCAUAAACGCUGCUUUUGCAUCAAGAGCCACUGCCCUGUGAAGUGGGCUGGAUAGUGGGUGCGUCUUACUGCUUGGGGUUGUGAGUGGGCUGAAGACCAUGUUGCUGUGAAGUUCCAAGUUGUCUUGCUGUGAUUCCCCACUGCAUCAAUCUGACCGUGUGGGUUUCCUCAAGGUGCUCUGGUUUCCUCCCACAUCCUAAAGAUGGCGAGUUUGUAGGUUAAUUGACUUCUGUAAAUUGCCUCUAGUGUGUAGGGAGUGGAUGAGAUAGUGGGAAUAACAUAGAACCAGUUCUAUGGGUAAAUGAUGUUCGACGUGGGCUCGGUGUGCAGAAGGGCCUGUUUCUGUGCUGUAUUUUUCAAUCAAUUUAACUACUUGAUGGGCACAAUUUGGAUGUUGGGGAAGCUGGAGCAUUUGUGACCUCAUGCAGUAGGCUUUAAUCGGCAAAUGUAUUAAUAGAUGUAAUGAUAAAUCAUUAAUUUUAACAUUUACUAGGUGUGCUUUUGCUGUGUAAUUUUAAAAAUAAACUAUUUAAAAG
This is a long non-coding RNA of Amblyraja radiata (thorny skate), 714 nucleotides long. RefSeq lists it as uncharacterized. NCBI's taxonomy places the organism in Eukaryota, Metazoa, Chordata, Chondrichthyes, Rajiformes, Rajidae. The transcript is spliced from 3 exons. The record is from RefSeq and is a predicted model, not a curated record.